UUGUGCGAAGCAGAAUGAAUACAGAGUUAUAAGUACAAUCUCAAAAAAAGGUAGGCAGAGUGGAUUUGCUGAACAGCAUCCAUCCGCUUAUACGUCCGUGACAUAAAGUAGUUCAUGAUUUGCACUUAAAUCGCUUUAAGCAUACGCUAAGCGAUGACUUAUCCGUCCCAAUGUUGCAAAAAAUUAUGUUAAAGUUUUUUCUACCCGAAAAUCAUGCACUUUAUUCAUGUUUGACAUCUAAAAACAUCGAUAAAAAUUUCCUGUAUUUCUACGCUACAAAUUAUUAUUAACGCAUGCGCAGACUCACAAUAAUUUAUCGAAGAGAACAACACGUAAGAGAAAUUGCUCAGGAAAGAAUCAACAACCAUCGCACAUAUUGUAAGUAAAUAUAUUUGAGUUAUUGUUUUUUUUUCAUUGAUUAUCACUUUAUAUAUUUAUUCAUUACAUAACUUGACGAGUAUUUUACGGGAAAUUUGAAUAAACGGCCAAGUUCAAAAACACUUUGAUUGACUCGGCCGCUCGUCAUUUUGUCAUUUACGUAAUUUUCCCUAUAAUUCGAAAUGAAAGUGUUAGAAUGUUUCGAUUUGAGACCAACUUAUCCACUGAUUUUGAUCAUUGUCAUGUUUUUUUGUUGUUUACUCGUGUGUCACGUAACUUGGUCAUAACAUAAACACAAACACGAGGUUGACCCACUUUUGAGAAUUGGCCCAUUGUUGACAAUAGCGUGAAAGGCGUUUGUUAUUAUCUAUUUCAUCACUUUCUUUUCGUUAGAAAAUGUGGUUAAUGAGCUGCUUUUUAGAGUUUUGUAUUUGGUUGUGAAAUAUUAACAAAUUUCAUUAUGUAAGGUUCGCGCCAUAAACAUGACUCAUACCGGAAGUUCCUUUGUUUGUUUACGACCGGAAGUCGCUUAUGUUCAAAAAUUAAAUAAGAAUCAAAAUUACAUGAAGGAUUUAAAGUUAGAUUGAUGUGGUAAAUGCUGUAUAAUAUUUAUUUCCAGGUUGACUGUAACCUUUUUGUAGUGGGUAUUGUAGCGGAUAUUCCUUGUGACGGAAAUAAAAGAUUAUUUACUUUAAUAUUCACUUGGAAAGGCUGGUACAUGUAGCUAGAAAAAGUACAGUAUAAGAUUAAAGAAAGACUAGAAGAUUAUUACAAACAACAGGUGGACAUGUGUCACUGUCAAGCGAAUGAAGAUAAGCAUCACACUCGGUGGGAAUCUCCAGUUUCCAGAUGUAGUGAUCAUAACUGUAUAGGCACCAUUAACACUUUGGACUAGUUGGAGUAUUUUAGAGGGCUAGUCUGAAUUGAAUCCCCUGUCAAUAGUCAAGGCCAGUCAUGAACAUUGUGUUGAAGGAAAAUGUUUAAAACUCGGAUUUUCCGCUUAACCAAUCAUUACUUUACCUUAUAUUCAGUGCGGUAAUGUAGGAAAUGGUUACUUUCUGGAACAGAGCUGUCAAUUAUUUUUAAUUUAUUAGCUUGUUAGUGUUAUCGUCAGACAGUUGUGAAGUAAAAACAUCAUAGUUUUGACUGUAUACAAGUUGCCUUAAAGAAAGUAUGUCGAAAUCUUAACAGUUAUUCGUUGAUUUUGUAGAAAUUGACUAGAAUUCACCUUUGUUAACAUGCAUCGCUUGGACGUCGAAAACGACAUGCAAUGACAUUUCAGUGAAAUUUGGAAACUUGCUCGUAUUUUGGAGCAUUUUGUAGGAUUUCGAUGAAGUAAAAAGUGUUUAUGAUAGGAUACAUUAUUCCUAGAGACAACCAUAAAGAUAAAAUAGUGAUCUGGUGUAUUUUUACCGAACAGUUCUUGUUUGUUUUGCAUGAUAUUUUUUCUCUCGUUAGGGACCUUUAUUCUUUUAUAUAUAGUAUUAUGAGCAUAUAUAUGGGUAAAUGUGGUAUAUAGUGCCUGUGGUUUUAACAUGUAUCUUAGCUUGCCUGGUGUAAUGAUAAGUAAUAAACCUGAGAAUUGAAACUAUGAGAAUAAAUUGUUGUUAUUAGUCCCCUUCUAUUUUCAUUAAGAGGGGACUAAAGGCUGACCCAUUUCUGUAUGUCAAUGAAAGCUGAAAGCUGAAUUUUGCUAUAACUUAAAUGGUACAAAAGUAAGGUUCAUCAUACUGGUAUCUGAUAUAGAACUAUACAGAGAUUUAGCAUGUUUUUAUAAUUUAUGCUCCUAUGAUUCUGGAUAAAUAUCUGUGUUCAUUCCAUACAGACUUGUACUUUUGGGGAAAAAGGUUGCUCAUGGGAGGAAAAUAUGUUUUUAAUGGUGUUUUUGAGAUUUUAGUUGAUAAAGGAAAAAAAAACAUAGUCUGUACUUAGGAAGACAUUUGUCCUUCACACUCUUGUCCGAAAUAUGAAUAUAACUAGAUAUGUAUUGAAGGGAUUUUAUGUAAACUUCACAAAGUGAUAGAGACUUUUAAGAGGAAGUGCAAUGUUCAAGAAACAUAACUCUACCUUGCUUCAUGUUUUAAUUAUAUUCCUUAAGUUAAAAAUGCUUAUUCCAAACUAUCACUGAAUCUACAUCAACUUGAACGACUCGAAUUUUCCAAUGUGUCAAAGAACCAUAACUCCAUUCCUUAGUUUUUAGCUCACCUGUCACAAAGUGACAGGUCAAGCUUUUGUGAUCCCUUUUUCGUCCGGCCGUAAACUUUUACUUUAAAUGACAUCUGCUCAUAAACCACUACGCUAAUUUCAUCCAAACUUCACAAGAAUGUUCCUUUGGCUGUCACCUUUAAAAAUUGUGCAAAGAAUUUAAUUCCAUGCAGAACUCUGGUUGCAAUGGGAACCGAAAGAAAAAAACUUUAAAUAUCAUCUUUAAAAAAAACCCUAAGAGCUAGAGCUUAGAUAUUUGGCUUGAAACAUCCUUUAGUGAGUGUCUACCA
Molecule: long non-coding RNA, 2873 nt
Organism: Ruditapes philippinarum (Manila clam)
Lineage: Eukaryota; Metazoa; Mollusca; Bivalvia; Venerida; Veneridae
Exons: 3
Source: RefSeq, a predicted model, not a curated record